RNAcentral lists this ribosomal RNA (433 nucleotides) under uncultured bacterium. Its description in RNAcentral is "partial 16S ribosomal RNA". It matches the Rfam family "Bacterial small subunit ribosomal RNA", at positions 29 to 507 of the family's 1533-position model. The record is from RNAcentral.
AACGAACGCUCGCUGUAUGCUUAACACAUGCAAGUCGAACGUGGUCUUCGGGUCGAGUGGCGCACGGAUGAGCAACUCCUAGGUAACUGGAGCUUGUUUCGGCCAGACUUACCGAAAAGUUUGCAACAACCGGACAAUCGGUUGGGACAAAAGAAUUAAUGUGGUUGAAUGGGCCUGCCUUAGACUAGCUAGUUGGCAGGGUAAAAGCCUACUAAGGCGACGUUGCAUAGCUGCUCUGAGAGGGUGAUCAGCCACACUGGGACUGAGACACGGCCCAGACUCCUACGGGAAGCAGCAGUGGGGAAUAUUGGACAAUGGGCGAAAGCCUGAUCCAGCAAUGCCGCGUGAGUGAUGAAGGCCUUAGGGUUGUAAAGCUCUUUUACCCGGGAUGAUAAUGACAGUACCGGGAGAAUAAGCGCCGGCUAACUCCGUG